Molecule: ribosomal RNA, 287 nt
Filed under: uncultured bacterium
Lineage: Bacteria
Description: partial 16S ribosomal RNA
Rfam family: Bacterial small subunit ribosomal RNA
Source: RNAcentral
GGAUUAGAUACCCUGGUAGUCCACGCCGUAAACGAUGGUCACUAGCUGUUUGGACUUCGGUCUGAGUGGCUAAGCGAAAGUGAUAAGUGACCCACCUGGGGAGUACGACCGCAAGGUUAAAACUCAAAUGAAUUGACGGGGACCCGCACAAGUAGUGGAGCAUGUGGUUUAAUUCGACGAUACGCGAGGAACCUUACCAGGACUUAAAUGUAAGUUGCAUGAUUCAGAAAUGAAUCUUUCUUCGGACUACUUACAAGGUGCUGCAUGGUUGUCGUCAGCUCGUGCCG